This 450-nucleotide ribosomal RNA is filed under the name Triticum aestivum (bread wheat). Its description in RNAcentral is "partial small subunit ribosomal RNA". The record is from RNAcentral. Lineage: Eukaryota; Viridiplantae; Streptophyta; Magnoliopsida; Poales; Poaceae.
AUGCAAUGCGACAACGGCGGAGAAUUCCUCACCACCUCUUUACGGUCCCUUUUCUCCACCCACGGCUCCUCUUUCCGUCUCUCCUGCCCCCACACCUCACCGCAGAACGGAAAAGCAGAGCGCCUCAUCAGGACGACGAACGACAUCCUUUGGGUGUUACUCAUCCAUGCCCAUCUACCACCCGAAUUUUGGGUUGAGGCACUCCACGUUGCCACCCAUGUCCUCAACUGCCGUCCUUCGUCCGCCAUCCAGCACCAAACACCUCCCGUCUACUUGGGUGUCACCCCACCUACGACCAUCUUCAAGUGUUCGGAUGCUUGUGCUUCCCCAACACAUACGCCACCAGCCCGCACAAACUUGCCCCACGUGUCGUCCGCUGCCUCUUCCUUGGAUAUGCCCUCGAACUUUAGAGCUACCGCUGCCUCGACCUUGCGUCGCGGCGCGUCAUAA